CCUACGGGUGGCAGCAGUGAGGAAUAUUGGUCAAUGGGCGGGAGCCUGAACCAGCCAAGUCGCGUGAAGGACGACUGUCCUAUGGGUUGUAAACCUCUUUUAUCAAGGAACAAAGUCACCCACGUGUGGCCUUUUGAGUGUACCCUAUGAAAAAGCAUCGGCUAACUCCGUGCCAGCAGCCGCGGUAAUACGGAGGAUGCGAGCGUUAUCCGGAUUUAUUGGGUUUAAAGGGUGCGUAGGCGGGGUAAUAAGUCAGUUGUGAAAGUCUGUGGCUUAACCAUAGAAUUGCAUUUGAAACUGGCAGUCUGGAGUGCGGGUGAGGUAGGCGGAAUUCGUGGUGUAGCGGUAAAAUCCGUAGAGAUCAAGAGGAACACUGAUUGCGAAGGCGACUUGCUGAAAUACCACUGACAUUGAUGCACGAAAGUGUGGGGAGCAAACAGGAUUAGAUACCCCAGUAGUC
This 460-nucleotide ribosomal RNA is filed under the name uncultured bacterium. Its description in RNAcentral is "partial 16S ribosomal RNA". It matches the Rfam family "Bacterial small subunit ribosomal RNA", at positions 338 to 795 of the family's 1533-position model. The record is from RNAcentral.